AGGCGACGAUCAGUAGGGGUUCUGAGAGGAAGGUCCCCCACAUUGGAACUGAGACACGGUCCAAACUCUUACGGGAGGCAGCAGUGAGGAAUAUUGGUCAAUGGGCGAGAGCCUGAACCAGCCAAGUAGCGUGCAGGAUGACGGCCCUAUGGGUUGUAAACUGCUUUUAUAAGGGAAUAAAGUGAGUCUCGUGAGACUUUUUGCAUGUACCUUAUGAAUAAGGACCGGUUAAUUCCGUGCCAGCAGCCGCGGUAAUACGGAAGGUCCGGGCGUUAUCCGGAUUUAUUGGGUUUAAAGGGAGCGUAGGCCGGAGAUUAAGCGUGUUGUGAAAUGUAGACGCUCAACGUCUGCACUGCAGCGCGAACUGGUUUCCUUGAGUACGCACAAAGUGGGCGGAAUUCGUGGUGUAGCGGUGAAAUGCUUAGAUAUCACGAAGAACUCCGACUGCGAAGGCAGCUCACUGGAGGGCAAAUGACGAUGAAGGAAGAAAGUGCGGGUAUGGAACAGGAUUAGAUAACGAAAUAGUUAUCACGGGGAAAGAUGUUUCACUCAGGAU
This 556-nucleotide ribosomal RNA is filed under the name uncultured bacterium. Its description in RNAcentral is "bacterial SSU rRNA". It matches the Rfam family "Bacterial small subunit ribosomal RNA", at positions 271 to 823 of the family's 1533-position model. RNAcentral also lists the same sequence under 1 other name. The record is from RNAcentral.